Molecule: non-coding RNA, 238 nt
Organism: Pelobates cultripes (western spadefoot toad)
Lineage: Eukaryota; Metazoa; Chordata; Amphibia; Anura; Pelobatidae
Source: the annotation of a GenBank genome assembly
AUAAUAUCUCAGAUUUGCACUAAUUGAAUGUGGGGUUAUGCCUUUGUAGCCAUGGGUAUCCCAAAACAACCGGGUAACAUGGAGAGGAAAUCACCUGGAGUUGGAUCAUCUCAUGCUGUAAAGCCCCUACAGGCAAAGAUAAGGGCACGGUCUCGUGGGUUAUAUGGGUAGCCUGUGGUGGUCUGCCAUCGAUGGCUUUGAAAGCUAGCGGAGAGGUGUGAGACUAUAAGGGUAUAGG